Molecule: ribosomal RNA, 447 nt
Filed under: uncultured bacterium
Lineage: Bacteria
Description: bacterial SSU rRNA
Rfam family: Bacterial small subunit ribosomal RNA
Source: RNAcentral
UGGGGAAUUUUGGACAAUGGGCGCAAGCCUGAUCCAGCCAUGCCGCGUGAGUGACGAAGGCCUUAGGGUUGUAAAGCUCUUUUGGCGGGGACGAUAAUGACGGUACCCGCAGAAUAAGCCCCGGCUAACUUCGUGCCAGCAGCCGCGGUAAUACGAAGGGGGCUAGCGUUGUUCGGAAUUACUGGGCGUAAAGCGCACGUAGGCGGAUUUGUCAGUCAGGGGUGAAAUCCCGAGGCUCAACCUCGGAACUGCCUCCGAUACAGCAAGUCUCGAGUCCGGAAGAGGUGAGUGGAAUUCCUAGUGUAGAGGUGAAAUUCGUAGAUAUUAGGAAGAACACCAGUGGCGAAGGCGGCUCACUGGUCCGGUACUGACGCUGAGGUGCGAAAGCGUGGGGAGCAAACAGGAUUAGAUACCCGGGUAGUCCCUGAGCGGGCUGGCAAGGCGCAU